UAUUAUUAUUAUUAUUGUUGUUGUUGUUGUCGUCAUUACGAUACCUAUAUACAUCACGCCGCAGCUGUCGACGACACACGACUAGCGACGCGGACCGUCGUCUGUCGUCGUCGUCGUCGCCACCGCCGCCGUCGCAUACAUGCAACACACACACGUUUAAUAUUAUUAUCAAUUUAUCAGUAUAAUGCCAUCGUUUUCCCCGGCCGAGGCGGUUUUAUUUUCGUCUUAAAUCGCGUCCAAUUCAAUACGGUAUCAUCGUUGUACUGCAGAUCAAAACCACCAUUACACACACUCGCAGGCGCGCGGAAGUCCGUUACGGUCUUGGGUCGCGUUUACGUGCACAAUGCGUAAAUGUAUAUACAUAUGUGUAUGUACGUGUACGCGUGUGUAUGUAUACACAUAUGAGUUCGCGAUACGCACACACUCACUAAUGCGUGAAUAAUAAACAUGACGUCGUACAUAAUGAUAUCCGUCUGCAGUGUACCUACCUAUACGUGUUUGACGACGACAUCACUUCCUGUUGAAGUUUGUUUGCUGUCAAUAAGCUGUGCUUUGGGAAUUCGGACCUACUUCCGGUCUACCGCCAAAUAUACAUUAUCUUAUCGAAGCAAUGCAACAUCUAUCAACAUAAAAUCAUAAUAUCUAAUAACUGCUACUUUACUGCUUUAAUAAAACAAGUCUAUCGGAAUGGUGACCGUCAGUCCGUUCGAUUCCAUUAGUCUAACAACAUUACAGUUCUACACAGUCUCAUAGAACCGCGACAACGGAACCAGACAUAAUGCAAAAGCGGCUUCACGACCGACGAAUAUAUAGUUAUUAAGAAUAUGAUAGUAUUAGAUGGAUUUUUAUUUUUAUUAUUAUUAUUGUAAUUUAUUUUUUGUUGAUACCCGUGGUGAACAUUUAUGACAACUUGUAAUGAAAAACGAUCUGCAAACCUUGGCACUGGAAGAAUUCACAGACUAUAAUUAUUGAAGAUCGUGAGUCUCCUGGUGUCAACUAUUGCGGAUCGAUAACACUACGAUUGUUGAAUGUAUUAAUCAUAUAUUACUAUAUAGUUUCACGCACUUAAUAUACUAUAUAUUAUUUGAAUACCUAUUGUAAACACUAAACGUAUAUAUAAGGUUGAGUAAGUUAAACAGUUUAUUGCGUUUAAUCUGUCUAGUUAAAAGUUGUAUAAUUUUUUUAUUUAAGUAAUGUAUAACUUAAUCAUAAUAUUAUUAACCUAAUGCUGUAAACUUAGUUUUAAUUUUCAACUCGUGAAUACGCCUGUAGUCUAGAAAUGCUAGCAUAUAGGUUAAAUAAAUAAGUUUUAAGUUAACUUAAGCUAUUAAACUUUAUGAAUUACUGUUACU
This is a long non-coding RNA of Melanaphis sacchari, 1352 nucleotides long. RefSeq lists it as uncharacterized. The record is from RefSeq and is a predicted model, not a curated record. NCBI's taxonomy places the organism in Eukaryota, Metazoa, Arthropoda, Insecta, Hemiptera, Aphididae. The transcript is spliced from 4 exons.